UACGUAGGGUGCGAGCGUUGUCCGGAAUUACUGGGCGUAAAGAGCUCGUAGGUGGUUUGUCGCGUUGUUCGUGAAAACCGGGGGCUUAACCCUCGGCGUGCGGGCGAUACGGGCAGACUUGAGUACUGCAGGGGAGACUGGAAUUCCUGGUGUAGCGGUGGAAUGCGCAGAUAUCAGGAGGAACACCGAUGGCGAAGGCAGCUCGCUGGGACGAUACUGACGCUGAGGCGCGAAAGCGUGGGGAGCAAACAGG
RNAcentral lists this ribosomal RNA (253 nucleotides) under uncultured bacterium. RNAcentral's name for it is "partial 16S ribosomal RNA". It matches the Rfam family "Bacterial small subunit ribosomal RNA", at positions 524 to 776 of the family's 1533-position model. The record is from RNAcentral.